AUGAUGAGAAAAAGUAUCAUUUUAUAAAAGGUUAGAACCUGAAUGUAAGUGAAGAUUUAUACUAGGGCGGACUGAUUUA
This is a small nucleolar RNA of Maniola jurtina (meadow brown), 79 nucleotides long. RefSeq annotates it as small nucleolar RNA U43. NCBI's taxonomy places the organism in Eukaryota, Metazoa, Arthropoda, Insecta, Lepidoptera, Nymphalidae. The record is from RefSeq and is a predicted model, not a curated record. The transcript has a single exon.